RNAcentral lists this transfer RNA (68 nucleotides) under Triplophysa orientalis. Its description in RNAcentral is "tRNA-Ser". The record is from RNAcentral. Lineage: Eukaryota; Metazoa; Chordata; Actinopteri; Cypriniformes; Nemacheilidae.
GAGGAGGGCUGAGAGGCACUAAGUACUGCUAAUAAUUAUAUCCAUGGUUAAACUCCAUGGCCUCCUUA